This 253-nucleotide ribosomal RNA is filed under the name uncultured bacterium. RNAcentral's name for it is "partial 16S ribosomal RNA". It matches the Rfam family "Bacterial small subunit ribosomal RNA", at positions 524 to 776 of the family's 1533-position model. The record is from RNAcentral.
UACAGAGGUCUCAAGCGUUGUUCGGAUUCAUUGGACGUAAAGGGUGCGUAGGUGGCGCUGUAAGUCGGGUGUGAAAUUUCGGAGCUUAACUCCGAAACUGCAUUCGAUACUGCGGUGCUUGAGGACUGGAGAGGAGACUGGAAUUCAUGGUGUAGCAGUGAAAUGCGUAGAGAUCAUGAGGAAGACCAGUGGCGAAGGCGGGUCUCUGGACAGUUCCUGACACUGAGGCACGGAGGCCAGGGGAGCAAACGGG